AGUGUGGCGGUGGACAUGGGCUGUUGAAACCUUCUCAGCCUCUGGUUGAAAAGCCAAAGACACCAGAGCCAGAACAACCCAAACAACCACCACCACAACCUAAGCCACAACCACCAAAACCAUCACCUGAACUAGUUCAAACACCUCAUACACCAAAACCACCCAAGGAGGAGCAACCCAUGGAACAACCUCCCAAGGAAGAGCAACCCAAGGAACAACCUGCCAAAGAGGAGCCACCCCAGGUACAACCUCCUAGAGAUGAGCCACCGAAGGUGAAACCUCCUAAAGAGGAGCUACCAAAGGUGCAACCUCCUAAAGAGGAGUUACCCAAAGAACAACCUCCAAAAGAGGAACUACCACAACCGCCUCAAGUAGAAGCAUAUGCUCCAGAGCCGAUUUUAGAAACCUCAUCAC
This 414-nucleotide long non-coding RNA is filed under the name Malus domestica (apple). RNAcentral describes it as "long non-coding RNA (MDOM_LNC005333)". Lineage: Eukaryota; Viridiplantae; Streptophyta; Magnoliopsida; Rosales; Rosaceae. The record is from RNAcentral.